UUUCAUGUGGCAUCAUGCUUUCCUCUUUACUAUCUCUGUUGCUUAACCCUUAUUUCUUUUAUUUUUUCGGUGGUAACAUAUCUUUCCUCAACUGUUUUUAUCUUUGUCGCUUUUGGAUUUCCUCUGUUUGGUUUCGUUUCGUAGCCGAGACAAUAGUUUUUUCUGUAGAUCAAUGUUGGCUGCCAACGGACCCAAAAAAAAUUAUCUUAUCACUGUCAUUUGGUUUCAUUUAACAUUAUUACCUCUAGUGAAAUGAGCUUCUUUUUGUUGAGAGAUGUUGGUCUCCAUCGGACCCAACAAAACGUUUCUGUUCGAUUAUUCUUCCUAUCUCGAUCGCCAGCAGAUCUGCUUCUAUUUAUACGCCUCUUAUUCGUAGUCUGUCCCUCUCCACUGCGUCAGCCACCAAUUCUAGCAUUUCAGUUCCCAAAUAAGUUUUUUUAACUAUUGUUCGAGCAUUACCUUCCAUGGUCAGAUCUCUUAGCCUUAGCUCUGCUCCCAUAUUGACAGCUUGGAUACAUGCAAGAGCUUCGAUAGCACACACCGAAGGUAUAUAGUCAUUUUUUAUUGUUUGGAUUCCAAUCACAUGUUCGCUUAAGUCUCUAGCCACCAACCUCGUACAUGAAUUUAGCGAAUGGGCUUGAUAGACAGUGUCAUAAUUUAUUUUUACCAUUGUUCGUUCUUGAGGCUUCCAACUUUUGCAAUAAAUUUUUCUGUUACAUGUUUUUGCACUUACCUUAUCUAUUUUCGCAAUAUAGGCCAUGACUUUUUUUGCUAUCUCCUUGGUUGUAAGUAUCGUUAAUUUGUGUAUGAGUUUGUUUCUUGUUAUCUAACUAACCCAUAGAAUACAUGUCACUUUCUUGUACACUUGUUUGGAAUUGUUCAUAGAGGCUAGUCAUUCAGUUUUGAUGGUUUAAAUCUGAGCUUUCUUGAGACCAUUGCAAAUUUAAUUCCUGUCAUGUUUGUCUUGUUGUUAGGUAGUCCCUGAAGACAUGUUAAACAGUUUCUAGACAAUUAGAAUAUUUGGGGCACUCCGUCGUGUUGGUUAGGCGCUUUUGGUAGAGGUUAUGAAAGUGAGGAAUUUAAUUUUUAAAGAUCCGCCAAUUUUCAAUUGGGUUAAAUAUAAUAUUAGUACCUAAACUUGUGCACUUCUCCCAUAUCGGUAUCUAUAGUUUUUUUGUCCUACAUUGGUACCCAAUUUUUUUUCGCCUACUGGUUUGGUACCUGAGCCUAACGUUGUUAACAUUUUGCUAAUGUGGUAGCACAGACCACUCGUGCGCUGCCACAUGUUGCAAUUCCAACACCCCCUUUGAUCCGUGUUUCUUUUUUUACCUGACCCUUUGGAAGUUUUUGUUUUAAUUUUUUUCCUUUAAAGUUAUUUUUCACCAUCAUCUUCAUCAUUUUCCAACAUUUUUCUCUUUCGUUUUCUUGCAUUUAUUUUUUUACCAUCAUCUUCAACGUUUGCCAUCUAUUUCUCUUUCGUUUUUCAACAUCUUUCAUUUUUCCCUUUUUUGUUUUCUAUUAAAUUUUCUCCUCUUUCAUUCCGUGUUUUCUCUCGUUUUCUUCAAUUCCUAGCUAUCUCUUACAUUUUCCAUUUUGUUCAUGUCUUCACCAUGACUUCUUCUACGAACAAAAAAUUAAGUGGGUAGAGAAGUGUUGUGUACUACCAUUGCGGGUUAAAGGCUCCCGUUUGCAACGCGAAUACUCCAAAGAACAAAGGGAGAAAAUUCUUUGGGUGUUCGAACUUCAAAGAGAUUAAUUGGGGUUUAUGUUUUUCAUAUAACAUUUUGUUGCAAUUUUGGUUUAAGAUGUAAUCUUAGUUUUUUAAUAUUAUAUUUUUUGUUUUGUUGAAUGUGAUAAAUGAAUGCCGAGGGAUGCGAUUUUUUUCAAUGGGUUGAAGGUAAUAGUGAGGGGGACAAACUCAACUACAAAAGAAAAAGGAUGCACAAUCGAUGAAAUAAUGCUAGAAAAUAAGAAUUUAUUGACAGAGAACAGAAGAUUAAGACUUGAGAACGAUGAGUUCAAUAUUGACGAAAUGUGAAGAAUACAAUUAAGGGUAACUCAUUUGGAAGUGAAGAUAAAAUUGUACAAGGAAAAAAUGUCAAGGAACAACAAAUUAAUGGUUGCUUAUAAGUUGUUGUUAAUUGUACAAUGGAUGAUGUUUUUUGGUUAUUUUGCUUGUGGAUGGUAUGUUGUCCAUAUAUUUGUAUUAGUUGUUAAGAAAGAAUGAAUUGAAUAAUGUUGUUGUAUAAUGAUAUUGUAAAAGUACAUGCAUAUACAAAAUUGGCAUCAACAAAAUUGAACCA
Gossypium raimondii (Peruvian cotton) is the source of this 2303-nucleotide long non-coding RNA. RefSeq lists it as uncharacterized. Lineage: Eukaryota; Viridiplantae; Streptophyta; Magnoliopsida; Malvales; Malvaceae. The transcript is spliced from 2 exons. The record is from RefSeq and is a predicted model, not a curated record.